GAAAUGCCGGAACAGUGGAUGGCAAGGCCGUCCUAUACGGAACCCGAGACACCACGAGCAAAACCAUCAAUAACGAAACCACAAAGGUCUUCAUUUUUACCUACAGGAGCAAAAUAGGAAACAAGAUCAAAGCAAAGACAUGGUGAUUGGAGGACAAACAAUUCCGAGAGAAAUACAAAAAACCCAAACCUAGAACACAAGCGUGGAAACUGGAAAGCAAUUACGUUUAUUACAGAUCACCGAGUAACAGAUUAAAUUCCAAUCCAAUAAAUCAACAAAAGAAAGCAAAAUUGGAAUAUCAAAUAGAUUAGAAAUCCAAGGUGAAAAGAAGGAAGGAGGAGGGAUCUUGAGCUUAGACUGUGAAUUCAUAAAACCCCAUGUCUAGGUUGAAAACAUAGAAGAAAGCAGAGAGAGAGAUAGGGAGAAUUUCUUACCACAAAGGCCCCAGGAGUUGGAUCCAGAAGAAUGGAUUUCGAUGGCUUUCUUCUCCCAAGGCUUCCUUAUUUGCGUAGAGACUGAUGAUAAGACACGCCAAGAGAAAGAAGAUCGGCCUAUGAUAAAACUUCACUGCUGUAAUGUUAUUCCACCC
RNAcentral lists this long non-coding RNA (589 nucleotides) under Vitis vinifera (wine grape). RNAcentral describes it as "long non-coding RNA (VVIN_LNC001648)". Lineage: Eukaryota; Viridiplantae; Streptophyta; Magnoliopsida; Vitales; Vitaceae. The record is from RNAcentral.